AAUAUUGCGCAAUGGGCGAAAGCCUGACGCAGCCACGCCGCGUGUGCGAUGAAGGUCUUCGGAUCGUAAAGCACUGUGGGGAGAGAAGAAACCAGCCGGUGAAGAGCCGGCCCUGACGGUAUCUCCUUAGCAAGCACCGGCUAACUCCGUGCCAGCAGCCGCGGUAAUACGGAGGGUGCAAACGUUGCUCGGAAUCAUUGGGCGUAAAGCGCACGUAGGCGGCCUAUCAAGUCGGAUGUGAAAGCCCUGGGCUCAACCCCGGAAGUGCAUCCGAAACUGACAGGCUUGAAUGCCGGAGGGGCCCAGAGAAUUCCCGGUGUAGAGGUGAAAUUCGUAGAUAUCGGGAGGAAUACCAGUGGCGAAGGCGCUGGGCUGGACGGCGAUUGACGCUGAGGUGCGAAAGCGUGGGGAGCAAAC
This 417-nucleotide ribosomal RNA is filed under the name uncultured bacterium. Its description in RNAcentral is "bacterial SSU rRNA". It matches the Rfam family "Bacterial small subunit ribosomal RNA", at positions 360 to 773 of the family's 1533-position model. The record is from RNAcentral.